GACGAACGCUGGCGGCGUGCUUAACACAUGCAAGUCGAACGGAAAGGCCCUGCUUUUGUGGGGUGCUCGAGUGGCGAACGGGUGAGUAACACGUGAGUAACCUGCCCUUGACUUUGGGAUAACUUCAGGAAACUGGGGCUAAUACCGGAUAGGAGCUCCUGCUGCAUGGUGGGGGUUGGAAAGUUUCGGCGGAUGGGGAUGGACUCGCGGCUUAUCAGCUUGUUGGUGGGGUAGUGGCUUACCCAGGCUUUGGCGGGUAGCCGGCCUGAGAGGGGGACCGGCCACAAUGGGACUGAGAUACGGCGCAGACUCCUACGGGAGGCAGCAGGGGGGAAUAUUGCACAAUGGGCGGAAGCCUGAUGCAGCAACGCCGCGUGCGGGAUGACGGCCUUCGGGUUGUAAACCGCUUUCGCCUGUGACGAAGCGGGAGUGACGGUAAUGGGUAAAGAAGCACCGGCUAACUACGUG
Molecule: ribosomal RNA, 468 nt
Filed under: uncultured bacterium
Lineage: Bacteria
Description: partial 16S ribosomal RNA
Rfam family: Bacterial small subunit ribosomal RNA
Source: RNAcentral